This 253-nucleotide ribosomal RNA is filed under the name uncultured bacterium. RNAcentral describes it as "partial 16S ribosomal RNA". It matches the Rfam family "Bacterial small subunit ribosomal RNA", at positions 524 to 776 of the family's 1533-position model. The record is from RNAcentral.
UACGAGGGGGGCGAGCGUUGUUCGGAAUUAUUGGGCGUAAAGGGUGCGUAGGCGGUUUGGUAAGUCUUGUGUGAAAUCUCCAGGCUCAACUUGGAGUCUGCACGAGAAACUGCCGGGCUUGAGUGUGGGAGAGGUGAGUGGAAUUCCUGGUGUAGCGGUGAAAUGCGUAGAUAUCAGGAAGAACACCAACGGCGAAGGCAGCUCGCUGGGACGGAACUGACGCUAAGGCGCGAAAGCGUGGGGAGCAAACAGG